Molecule: ribosomal RNA, 335 nt
Filed under: uncultured Aspergillus
Lineage: Eukaryota; Fungi; Ascomycota; Eurotiomycetes; Eurotiales; Aspergillaceae
Description: SSU rRNA
Rfam family: Eukaryotic small subunit ribosomal RNA
Source: RNAcentral
CGCGGUAAUUCCAGCUCCAAUAGCGUAUAUUAAAGUUGUUGCAGUUAAAAAGCUCGUAGUUGAACCUUGGGUCUGGCUGGCCGGUCCGCCUCACCGCGAGUACUGGUCCGGCUGGACCUUUCCUUCUGGGGAACCUCAUGGCCUUCACUGGCUGUGGGGGGAACCAGGACUUUUACUGUGAAAAAAUUAGAGUGUUCAAAGCAGGCCUUUGCUCGAAUACAUUAGCAUGGAAUAAUAGAAUAGGACGUGCGGUUCUAUUUUGUUGGUUUCUAGGACCGCCGUAAUGAUUAAUAGGGAUAGUCGGGGGCGUCAGUAUUCAGCUGUCAGAGGNAAAU